GGAUUAGAUACCCUGGUAGUCCAUGCCGUAAACGUUGGGAACUAGAUGUGGGGACCAUUCCACGGUCUCCGUGUCGCAGCUAACGCAUUAAGUUCCCCGCCUGGGGAGUACGGCCGCAAGGCUAAAACUCAAAGGAAUUGACGGGGGCCCGCACAAGCGCCGGAGCAUGCGGAUUAAUUCGAUGCAACGCGAAGAACCUUACCAAGGCUUGACAUAUACCGGAAACGGCCAGAGAUGGUCGCCCCGCAAGGUCGGUAUACAGGUGGUGCAUGGUUGUCGUCAGCUCGUGCCG
Molecule: ribosomal RNA, 292 nt
Filed under: uncultured bacterium
Lineage: Bacteria
Description: partial 16S ribosomal RNA
Rfam family: Bacterial small subunit ribosomal RNA
Source: RNAcentral